GAAAUGCGAUAAGUAGUGUGAAUUGCAGAAUUCAGUGAAUCAUCGAAUCUUUGAACGCACAUUGCGCCCUUUGGUAUUCCAAAGGGCAUGCCUGUUCGAGCGUCAUUUGUACCCUCAAGCUUUGCUUGGUGUUGGGCGUCUUGUCUCUAGCUUUGCUGGAGACUCGCCUUAAAGUAAUUGGCAGCCGGCCUACUGGUUUCGGAGCGCAGCACAAGUCGCACUCUCUAUCAGCAAAGGUCUAGCAUCCAUUAAGCCUUUUUUUCAACUUUUGACCUCGGAUCAGGUAGGGAUACCCUCUGAACUUAACC
Molecule: unclassified non-coding RNA, 308 nt
Filed under: plant metagenome
Description: partial contains 5.8S ribosomal RNA, internal transcribed spacer 2, and large subunit ribosomal RNA
Rfam family: 5.8S ribosomal RNA (bases 1-105)
Source: RNAcentral